ACGAACGCUGGCGGCAUGCCUAACACAUGCAAGUCGAACGAGACCUUCGGGUCUAGUGGCGCACGGGUGCGUAACGCGUGGGAACCUGCCCUUAGGUUCGGAAUAACUCCCCGAAAGGGGUGCUAAUACCGGAUAAUGUCUUCGGACCAAAGAUUUAUCGCCUUUGGAUGGGCCCGCGUUGGAUUAGCUAGUUGGUAGGGUAAAAGCCUACCAAGGCGACGAUCCAUAGCUGGUCUGAGAGGAUGAUCAGCCACACUGGGACUGAGACACGGCCCAGACUCCUACGGGAGGCAGCAGUGGGGAAUAUUGGACAAUGGGCGAAAGCCUGAUCCAGCAAUGCCGCGUGAGUGAUGAAGGCCUUUGGGUUGUAAAGCUCUUUUACCCGGGAUGAUAAUGACAGUACCGGGAGAAUAAGCUCCGGCUAACUCCGUG
RNAcentral lists this ribosomal RNA (432 nucleotides) under uncultured bacterium. RNAcentral describes it as "partial 16S ribosomal RNA". It matches the Rfam family "Bacterial small subunit ribosomal RNA", at positions 29 to 507 of the family's 1533-position model. The record is from RNAcentral.